This 1039-nucleotide long non-coding RNA is filed under the name Salmo salar (Atlantic salmon). RNAcentral's name for it is "lncRNA (ENSSSAG00000101285.1)". Lineage: Eukaryota; Metazoa; Chordata; Actinopteri; Salmoniformes; Salmonidae. The record is from RNAcentral.
GGACAGUCUUCCAGCUGAUGGCCAAACUUAAGUCACACUGCAUUAUUUCCUCCUCAUGCAGCAAUUCAUAUUGUUACUCCUAUAACCAGAGAAAAGUUGAAAUAUUCCUCGAUAUUAAAACAAAGACAAGAUGUAAAUAAUAACAACGCAAGCUUAUUCUAAACACUUUCCUAUUCUCAUUAAUUUCUUACUGCAGUCCUUUUUUUGUAGUGUCAGUGGAAGUAGGGAGAAUGUGCAUUUCAUGGCUUAUAAAAGUGUUGACAGUGCAGAAUAACAAAUUUAAACAUGAACUUUGCUCUAUUCGUUGAGUCUCUCUCCAGUCACGGUUUAAAAAAGGUUUGGAAUCUCACGGUAUCAACUUUGCUGUGUGCUAGAUGUUUCUUUUUACAGCCAAUGGCUCGAGGAAACUGUGCAGACACGGUGAUUUGAGCUAUCUGAUUGGCCAGUGUUAGUGCCUAUAGGUGCACUUGAUUUUCUCUCUGGGCGGAAUUCUACCUUCAGAAACAUGAAAUGGUUCAUGUGUCUGUCCCGGCACUAGGGAUUUCCGAAUCAAGUGCACCUACCACUAACAGCGCUAAAUGAAGGGAUGCGGAAUCAAGUGCACCUACCACUAACAGUGCUAAAUGAAGAGAUGCUGAAUCAAGUGCACCUACCACUAACAGCGCUAAAUGAAGGGAUGCUGAAUCAAGUGCACCUACCGCUAACAGCGCUAAAUGAUCACGUUUUACAGAAGUGUGAUCGACUACUAAUGCCUUGGAGAUCGACUACUAAUGCCUUGGAGAUCGACUACUAAUGCCUUGGAGGUCGACAACUAAUGCCUUGGAGAUCGACUACUAAUGCCUUGGAGGUCGACUACUAAUGCCUUGGAGGUCGACUACUAAUGCCUUGGAGGUCGACUACUAAUGCCUUGGAGGUCGACUACUAAUGCCUUGGAGAUCAACUACUAAUGCCUUGGAGGUCAACUACUAAUGCCUUGGAGGUCGACUACUAAUGCCUUGGAGAUCGACUACUAAUGCCUUGGAGAUCGACUACUAAUGCC